UCUGGCGGCAGUAGCGCGGUGGUCCCACCUGACCCCAUGCCGAACUCAGAAGUGAAACGCCGUAGCGCCGAUGGUAGUGUGGGGAGACCCCACAC
Molecule: ribosomal RNA, 95 nt
Filed under: Salmonella enterica subsp. enterica serovar Worthington str. BCH-4719
Lineage: Bacteria; Pseudomonadati; Pseudomonadota; Gammaproteobacteria; Enterobacterales; Enterobacteriaceae
Source: RNAcentral